RNAcentral lists this long non-coding RNA (392 nucleotides) under Mytilus galloprovincialis (Mediterranean mussel). Lineage: Eukaryota; Metazoa; Mollusca; Bivalvia; Mytilida; Mytilidae. The record is from RNAcentral.
UUUAUACACAUCCUUCAGCUUUAUUUUAAUAAUGAAAUAAUGUAAUGGUUAAUUCUUAAUUGUAAGAACUGUUUUUCAAUAUCGUUUGUAACAGCAAAAGGCAGUUUGAAAAUAUCUUUCCAGUUCAGAUUCUCUCCACCUAAAAUGUUAAUCAGAAAACUCAGUACACAAUCUUUUGGUCAUUCAUGGUUUAAGUAAAAUGUAGACAUGAUUGUAUAAAAGUACGUCCCUUUAGUAAAAGAUUUUGAUGCUUCUUUCACUGCCGAAAUUACAUUGGCAAGUUUAUAAAAAAAAAAUUGUGUUAAUGUGAUAGGUUUUCUUUGUCAAAUGAAAGGUCAAUUUAAUUUUUGUAUAUUAGAUCAAUUGUAUUCUUGAUAAAAUACUGAUUUGUG